GGCUGUCCGUCAUCUCCUCGUCGUCGUUUGCUUCACUUCACUGAAUAAAACUCCGUUGUUUUUCUGAAUGCUUCUACGCUUUUCUCCCGCCAAAUUCUCGCCGGUGUCUAACUUUCCGGCAAUUGUUUCACCGGAGCUCUUCUCUUGUUCCGGUACAAUGGCUCGAAUAGUCUCCCGCGCAUUUCCACUCGUAUCGAGAUCUUCUUUAAACAACAAUAACAACACAACCUUUCUUCUCUCUCGUUCACCUUUUUCUACUCGAUUCUUCGUUUCUUCUUCUUCUUCUAUUUCUUCAAUUUUUGGUCGAAAACUUGCUAUUUCAUACCAAUCAGAUCGAAGUUCUAAUGUUAAAGCUAUCGAUAGAGGGGUUUUUGUUUAGCAAAGAGGUUAUCGAAAGCUGAGACGUAAGCCAUUAAAGAAAGAGAAACAAUUAGAGCUUGAUGUCAGAAUUUGUAUUGAAGAGGAAUUGCCCGAUGAUCCUGAAGUUCUGGUAAUUAUUACCUCUUUGUGUCAUUUCUCUUAAAGAUUUAAUUUUUAUAUAAAUUGCUUAAAAUUAGGUUUUCAGCUGAUUGUUUGAUAACAUUGGUUUUAAUUUGAACUAAUGAUACUUGGCUAAUAAUCAAGAAAAUGUUGAAUUUGUUUUUGAGCUUAAGUUGCAUAAGAACAUGGAUAGUUCAUCCCAAUAUUAAACGGACCUUUAUUCGAUCCAAGUCCAUUAAAAAGCCCAAUUGAUCAAAACAAGUCUAAUUACUGAAUUGUCCUUUACCCUCCCUUCCAUUAGGGCUGCUAUCUGAGCCGAGCGGCUCGGGCUCGGCUCGAUAAAAGCUCGGCUCGGCUCGCUCAUUUAUCUAAACGAGCCGAGUUCGAGCCGGUUUUUGAGCUCGUCACGAGCCCGAGCCGAGCUCGAGCUCUAAACGAGCCGAGCCGAGCAGCUCGUUUACUAUGGGCUUGGGCAGUUGGGCUUAUGGUAACUAUGGGCUUGGGCAGUUGGGCUUCUAUCUCCAUCACUUGCAACCAUCAGUAUCACAAACCCAAACUUAAUUCCCCACUCCACUUUUUUUUUUUUCUCUCUCUCUCUUCACUUUAUCUCUCGAUCAGUCGAUCUCAACUCUCUCUACACUUUUGAUUUCUCCAUCAGUCGAUCUCCUUUUGAUCAAUCGAUUCUAGUUUUUUUUUUCUCCAUCAGUCGAUCUCCAUCGCGUCUGCUCAAGGUGAGUUGAGUUAAGGGCUUUAUUUUCUAUUGAUUUUUGUUUAAUUAAUUAGGAUUUUGUGAUUCAAUUGGUUUGCUGAAUUUUAGUUUAGAAUUAGUUGUAGAUCUGUAUGGAAUUUUUGUGUUUUUUUCCAAGUUUAUCAAAAUAAAGAUUGAAGCUUUAUUUAUUUCUUUACAAGUUGAAAUUGAAUUUGAAUUGCAUAUAUGUUGUUUGAGAAAUUGUCUUUAAAGUGUAUAUACAAUACACCUUAAAUGGACUAGCAGUAUUCUUUUGUUCUUAAUGUUCUUCCACUAAUGCAAGAAAACAAUGGUUAAACUUAGAAAUACUUUCUGCAGGAUUUUUCAAGGAGCCAGACGAGCCAGCGAGCCGAAACGAGCCGAGCUCGAGUUUUACUUUUGGCUCUCGAACCGAGCUCGAGCUCAUAGUUCAGCUCGAUCUUAAUUUUAAGCUCGGCUCGAGCUCGGCUCGGUUAGUAACGAGCCGAGUUUGAGCAUACCUUAGCUCGGCUCGAGCGGCUCGAAUAGCACCCCUACCUUCCAUUCAUGUGGAUUCACAGUUUACACAAAAGAGGUCGUUUUGGACUUGGGCUGUCCGUCAUCUCCUCGUCGUCGUUUGCUUCACUUCACUGAAUAAAACUCCGUUGUUUUUCUGAAUGCUUCUACGCUUUUCUCCCGCCAAAUUCUCGCCGGUGUCUAACUUUCCGGCAAUUGUUUCACCGGAGCUCUUCUCUUGUUCCGGUACAAUGGCUCGAAUAGUCUCCCGCGCAUUUCCACUCGUAUCGAGAUCUUCUUUAAACAACAAUAACAACACAACCUUUCUUCUCUCUCGUUCACCUUUUUCCACUCGAUUCUUCGUUUCUUCUUCUUCUUCUUCUUCUUCUAUUUCUUCAAUUUUUGGUCGAAAACUUGCUAUUUCAUACCAAUCAGAUCGAAGUUCUAAUGUUAAAGCUAUCGAUAGAGGGGUUUUUGUUUCGCAAAGAGGUUAUAGAAAGCUGAGACGUAAGCCAUUAAAGAAAGAGAAACAAUUAGAGCUUGAUGUCAGAAUUUGUAUUGAAGAGGAAUUGCCCGAUGAUCCUGAAGUUCUGGUAAUUAUUACCUCUUUGUGUCAUUUCUCUUAAAGAUUUAAUUUUUAUAUAAAUUGCUUAAAAUUAGGUUUUCAGUUGAUUGUUUGAUAACAUUGGUUUUAAUUUGAACUAAUGAUACUUGGCCAGUAAUCAAGAAAAUGUUGAAUUUGUUUUUGAGCUUAAGUUGUUAUGAGAGUGAAAUGUUUAGUCAAACAUCAUACCUUGGAGGAUAAAAUGCGCUAAUUUAUGCACUAAGAAUGACUCAAUUAUCUAUUCAGUGAUCAUAAAUAUCCUUGUCAUCUUCUUUUGCUAUCUUGAAACAAUUGAUAUGAAGUUAUUCCAGUAUUUUAGAGAUUGUAUACUAUAAAUGAUCUCAUAGUUACAAUAACUUCUGAUAAUUUACAAAGUUUCAUGGACACUCCUGUGAAGUUUGUUCUUAAAUUUUUAUAGAUAGCUAUAUUAUCAGAAAGGUUGUAAGUACGCUUUUUCAUUAGUCUUACUGGUUUACUAGAAUAGGAUUGUUGCAUUUUUUUUAAGGUAUUUUGAAUAGGCUUUGUUUUCAAGUUGAUUGAAGCUUUUUAUUGGGUUCUGAUGCAGAGUAUUGCAGAAAUGCUCCGUCUGAAUGUUCCAAUGGCUAUGAAGUUAGCAUUCGAUGGUCUAAAAGAUUCACAGUAUAAAACAAGAGACACUUCCAUAGAUGAUGUUGGCGGCUUUGAGACUGUUGAGUUAUCUGUACUUUUAUGUAAUGAUGAUUUCAUUAGGAAACUUAAUAAAGAUUGGAGAGAUGAGGACCAUGCUACAGAUGUUCUAUCUAUGUCCCAACAUAUUCCUGAUCUUGAACUUCCAGUGGUAUGAUCUCAUGGUUUUUAAAUUUGCAUCACUUUCUUGACAAUUAUACUUCUUUAUACAUAGACCUUUCACAUGCAUUCCUUCCUAUUACAGCUUAUGUUGGGUGACAUAGUAAUAUCUGUUGAGACGGCUGCAAGGCAAGCAGAGGAGAGAGGACAUACUCUUAUUGACGAGAUUCGAGUUCUCAUGGUUGGUUCAUCAACACAUUUUCAUAGUUACCCAUUGAUUUAUUUCGUUAUCAUGGGCCAGUUUCUUUUGCUUCUUUAGUUAUUAUUACUAUUUCUUUUUUUUUAUUUGUCUCAAAGUUUCAUUACUGAAACUAUGAUAUGUCUUCCACAUCACAUCUAACGCAUCGUCUUCGUAGUAUAAAAUUCCCAUAAAUUUGAUAUGUUCUACUGCAGAGCCAAAUAGUAAGAAUCAACCAAUAUAAUAAACAAUUAAACAUCAAAACAAUGAAAAAGGUCCAGGGUCAUGCAGGUCUUCAGUCAUUUUGAUAUAGAAAACUCUUACUGUUUGAACCAAAUAAACAAUCUUAUAAAGAAAAUUCUGACACCAUAAUGAGGGAUCGCAUGGAAGGUAGCCAUCAUCAUGGUGAAAGGCACAGAACUCUUAUUGUGCAAACGGCUGGGAAAGUACCUGUAAUCUGUAAAGCUCAAAUUACAUGUGUUUUUGGUGAAAUAUAUGAAUGAGAUGCAGCGCGUGGAAAAUCACAUAUAAGCCUUGAGGGCACCAACCCUCUUAGAGGCUUCAGGCGCCUCAAUGGUUAGAAAAAAGGGCUAAAAUAGUUAUAGAGAAAACCUCAGGCAUUUUACCUUGUGUGUGACUUGUGCUCUUUGUAUGAGAUAUGAAAAUUAGUUCAUACACUAAAGGAAUGACACAGAGAAGUUCUGGUUGUUUCCUAGCCAAACAGAUAAUGUUGAUGUCAUAUUAAAGUUCCUGUGCAUAUCAUAGGCAACAUACCAUGACAAUCUUAUGUUCACAACUCAUAAGUCAAAUAUGACCACAAGUCGCAACCAAAAAUCCCAAACACAAUCAUCUUCAACUCUCAGAAGUUUGGUUCUUUUGAUAAUUCAAAACAACAGUAAUACAGUCAUUAUUGCGAGUACAAGGUUGUCAAGAAGCUUAAAAAUUGCAUAAAGUUGCUCUAAGGUCUGUGGUCCAUGUGUCUAGAAGAGGGCAAGCUUGCACCUGAACCUGCCUUGAGGCUAUAAAAUCAGGGCAUGUGCAUAGUACAUAGUGGCGUAACCUAUAAUACCUGUGUGGCUAUAGCCUCAGUGCUUUUUGUGGAUAAAAGCAGUGGUUUAAGCCUUGAGGUGUGGGCGUUCAUGUUUUUUUCCUAAACUUUGAUGAAAUGAAUAACUAUGGGUUAUGUCUGAUCAUGCAGGUUCAUGGGUUGUUACAUCUGUUGGGAUUUGAUCAUGAACUCAGUGAAGAGGCCGAGAUAGAGAUGGAGAAGGAGGAAGAACUUCUUUUGAGGAGUCUAAAGUGGAAAGGAAAAGGGUUAAUACAAUGUGCAAAUGAUGCUGCGAGUAGUGGAAGUGUUCCUACUAAAGCUUCAGAUGGUAAUCUCUUUGCUUCAAAAUUAGACUUCUAUUUUUAACGUUUCUGUUCUGUUUCGUAAAUCACUUGGUGGUUAAGAUGUUAUUUAAAAGAGUAGCUUCCGCAUUUUACAGGUGAAGCAUCCACAGAAAGGAAGCAAGAAGGCAGCCUCCGGUUUUAUAAACCGAAAUUCAACUAUAUCUUCUGCGAUAUGGAUGGUGAGUUUGAGCUGAUAAUUGUAGAAAUGCUCUGUUUAUCACCACUAACAUCUUAUAACAUUUUUUCCCCUCAUUUACGUUACGUAAAGGCACGCUCCUAAACACCAAGAGUCAGAUUACUCCUGCGACAGCGAAAGCUCUUAAAGAGGCCAUGUCAAGGGGAGUAAAGAUUGUGGUAGCCACUGGAAAGGUGAUAUAUUUUUCUCUUACUUAAUUUAGGUUACCAUUGAUGGUUUCCGUGGAGAUUCACGCUGUUAUUUGAUAUUAUACAAGCUGCUUGUAGUUUCCUCUCCAUGCCUUGGGGUAUCUUUGCUCGCAUUUAUUUGAUAUUAUACAACCUGUUAUAUAUAUAUAUAUAUAUAUAUAUAUUAAUCUUUUUGUGCUUCACCUCCAACUUGUGUUUCUUUGUUGGAUACUUUUGCUUGUCUUUGAUCAUCUCUUGUUCAUGCAAUGUUAAUGGAACAGGCUCGUCCUGCCGUUAUAAGCGCUUUGAAGAUGGUUGAUUUAGCUGGAAAAGAUGGCAUUGUUUCUGAGUUAUCACCAGGGGUUUUCCUUCAGGUUUACCAUCUGUACCUUUUUCCCUUUUUUAUUUUAAUAUAUCCUCAUGAGCCACCCUAUAUGGAUUUCUAAUGUGCAGAAAGUCUUACUUGCUCUCUAUCAAGACUUUCCAUGUAGAUUUAUUUUUUAUGCUUGUCAUCCAGUAUGGUGCUUCAGUGAUGCAAAUUUGGUUGCUCCAAAUUAAAGAUGCAAAGUUAAUUAUGCCCAGUUCAAGAUGAUAUUGGAGAAUACACUUGUCACUAUUUUCUUCUUUGUCAUAAUAAAAAUAGUUAAUAGGUGCUAUGAAAUCUAAAUUUGUGGCCAAGGGCAAAGCUGCACUCAUUUUGUGGAGACCAUCUGAUUCUUAAGUGACAGAUUGAGGAGCCCAAAUGUAAUAAGUUGAAAUGAAUUAUAAAACCAUUAACAUGGAUAUUGUAAUUUAGAACUGCAUAUUAGAAUGAAGAUACCGAUUUGCUUAAAGAUUUUGUAGAAUUCAGCAGUACAAUUUUUCUCAAUUUUCAUUUGGCAGUGUUAGCUCCUGCUAACACUUAUGAGGAUAUUUUGGAGUUUGUAGGCAGAGUUCAGUUGGAUUUGGCAUAGAAGUGUAGUCUACCAGAAUAUUCAAGGUAUUAUUAGUAAAACCAUUCAGGCAGUUCAUGGCUAAUGAAGAGUUAACAUCAAUCACAUAGUAAUUAUCAGAGCAAGGAAUUGCAUAAAUGUAACACCCCGGGUCGGCAGGUGGUUUGCCGAGGGGGUGGGUCCUACGGCACAUGAGAGGAGGAUGUCCUGACAUUGGAAUAUAGGUAUAGAUCCAUCAUAUAUAAUCACCAAGGCCUUUUGGCCUCAUUUGGCUCCAGAGUUCGAAGGAACUCCAGAGUUAAGCGUGGUCGGGUGGGAGUAGUCUCAGGAUGGGUGACCUCCUGGGAAGCAGGCUGCUGCCCAUAAAACCCCACACUGUCGGAUGUCCGCAGUGGCUAAGUGAGGACAAUAUCGGUGGUGAUAUAGGUCGGGUCACUACAAUAAACAUUGAAAUGUUAUAAACUAGAGCAAGGAAAAUAAACAUUGAAAUGGAAAGAAAAGGUACAACACUAGCUGGAUUUCUAGGUGAAUGCUCAGCAUAUUCCAUCCUUUAACAUCUUAUGGUGCUUUAUAUUUUGGUUUCACUUCCAUAUGAAUUAUGCUAUUUCUUAUUUUAUUAGUUCAUUUGACUUUCCAGGGAUUGCUUGUUUAUGGUAGACAAGGUCAAGAAAUUUUUAGAAGAAAUUUAGAUCCAAGUGUUUGUAAAGAGGUAAUUAAUCUUUUGUUCCGACUUCUGAGUACAGCCUAUAGCUUUCAGUUUGCAAUUGGAACUAGCUUUCAGUUUGCAUUUGUAUACUCGUAAUUGCAGGCAUUUUUGUACUCUUUGGAACACAAGGUUCCUCUCGUUGCAUUUUGCCAGGACCGGUGUUUAACACUAUUUGACCACCCUUUGGUUGAAUCACUCCAUACCAUAUAUCACGAGCCAAAGGUACCUAGCUAUACUGUUUGAAUUUAUUACCUUUGUCACUAAGUUUGAUGGUGUGGUGCGUGUCUCUAUCAUUGAUAUGAUCCCUGGAUUUUGUUCACAGGCAGAAGUCAUGCCUUCAGUUGAGCAUCUCUUAGCCGCCUCUGAUAUACAGGUAUGUUGUUUAAAUCAGUCAGUAAAGUUAACUUCAGCUUUUAACUUGGAAAUAUGUUUUAUAGGACCAAUAAAUAAUAAACACUGCCACUAUCUACUGCGAGAAUUGACUGUGAUGCACAUGCACACAGUGACACAGCAACCUAAUGAAUGUGAUCGUAUAUUUGGCUUGCUCGUUUAUUCUCUUGUUGACACAUUCUUUUGGGUUGGCAGAAGCUGUUAUUCUUUGACACUCCUGAGGGAGUAUCUACUACAUUGCGGCCAUAUUGGUCGGAAGCAACGAAUGGGCGUGCCGGUGUAGUCCAAGCUAUGCCAGAUAUGCUUGAAAUUGUUCCAGCCUGUACUUCGAAAGGAAGCGGAGUAAAAAUGCUGCUAGAUCAUUUUGGAGUCACAUCAAAAGAGGUAUGGUGCAAAAAAAAAAUUUGUUGCAUAAUGUGUACAUUAUUGAUACCCUUUUUGUCAUCUCUAAUUGGUUAAGAACUAAUGCUGAUAUCAAUACGGGUCUGUGGUACUGCUACUUGAUGAUGUUAGAAUCUUUGUUUUAGGAUGUAAUUUAUGGUAGCAUCUGGAUCAAUCUUAAUCAUACCAUUGUGUAUAUUUUAUACUUUAAAGUAUUGCAUAACAAGAAAGAUUGUCAAUAUGCUUUCUUGUUUGACCAUGUUGCAAUAUGGAACUUUUAAAUCACCUCUGUUCAAUUAUUUUGGCUAAAAGUAGUGCUUUAAUGUCGGUAACUCGGUAUCUGAAGUUUAUAAUGAUUGAUGCUGUUAAAGAUUGUGUAAGGAUAUAGUUUGUUUCUUGGAGAAUCCUAUAUUGAUCUAAAGUAUUGUAUAUAUCUCCGAAGAUUCUAUUUAUUGUGUUGUAGGUGCCAGUUGGCUCAAUUGGUAAAACCUCUGGGUGAUGAUACCAGAGGUCUGGGGUUUGAAUCCCGCCAGCACUACCGAGUUACUGACCUCAUUAAAAACAGACUUACCAAACCAUUUUUUGCGAAUGGGCAUGUGGCUCAAUGGUAGCACCCCUCUCACAAAGUGGAGAGGUUGUCAAAAAAAAAAAAAAAAGAUUUAGAAUGUCCUUGGUAUGCACUUUAAUGGAUGUAGUACUUGUUGAUUGAUACCAUUUGAAGUUGUCUAAGGAUGUAGUUUGUCUGCUGGAGCAUCCUGUAUUGAUAUAUGUUGCUAUCUAUAUCUUUCAAUAUUAUAUAUAUAAUUACUAUUUUGUCAUCUUAUUUCGGACUUUUCAUCUCCUGAAAUAAAGUGGUGUUAUCUGUUUUAAAGGUUUGAUAUCACUUAUCUAAGUAAUUAUACUAAUAAAUUGAUAUCAAGCUCGAUAAUUCCUUUGUUUCCUAGAUAGGAAGUUCUAAGAAAGUAAGAAUAUUUAGUUGUAUUCAGUGUGUGAGUGUUCUCUUGUUUUUUUAUGAAACUUUCCAGUGUUAAACCUGCGACCAUCCAAGCAAUUCUCGCUGUGACUCUCUCAAACUUGGUUGAUUGUCAGUUGGACGUCGUAAAUGCCUUUUUACACUGAUUAAACUGAAGAGUUGUAUAUGCACAGUAGGCCUCCUUUUCCUUCUGACAUUCUUUAAAGAAGUUUGAUUAAAGGAUUAUAUGCUUUCUGCAUUUGACAACUUCUUUGCUGAGUGCUGACUAAUUUUUUAUAAUUUUAUUAGAUAAUGGCUAUUGGCGACGGGGAAAAUGACAUUGAAAUGCUUGAGCUGGCAUCUCUAGGGGUUGCUCUCAGUAAUGGUGCAGAAAAGACAAAAGCUAUAGCCAACGUAAUUGGUAUGAGUAAUGACGAAGAUGGUGUAGCUGAUGCCAUUUACCGGUAUGCAUUCUGAAAGUCAAACUUAGGCGUGGCAGUUUGUAUUUUGUAACACCGGUAAUUUUUGCUAUUUAUGGCUGGGAUGAACGUGCCUUGACAAAUAUUCACUAAUUCAUUGGAAAGAAGGGGAGACAAAUUUCUCCUGGUCAACUGUACAAAAUCACCCAUGAGCAUUUAAUCGGGUACCCGUUCUCUGUAACUUACCUUUUGCUUACAGUUCAAAGAGAAAUAAUCACGUUGGUUACUCUUGUUUUACAUUGCUUAAUCGGGUUCGUUUCAAUGAUUCUCAUUGCUUACUCUUGUUUUAGUUAAUUGGCAUUACUUAUAUAUUAAUGUUAUUGAGAAAAAGCUCAAAUCAAGACUUUAAUGAGUUGCAUCCUUUGCCCUCAGUUUGUACAGCUAAAGAAUCUCCAUGACUGCACUUAUUUAAUGAGUCAAUAUAUAAUCUUUUUCAUUACGUCCAUACAAUUCUUAACAUGAAACUGAUGCACUAGUAUGUUCGUUUGACUUUGUGGCAUUGUCUCGCGCUCUCAUGGAAGAAAGCCAACUACUAGUUUGUCUCUCAGCAUGAACAGCAUAAGAGAACCAGUGAUCAGAUAGAUUAUGCCUUCCUUAACUGAGAAUGUGACACACACUCCAUGCUAUCUAGAAUUUCUCUGCACUCACAAACUGCAUCCAUGAGAUGAGUGGAUAUAGACAUGCUGAUACUCUUAAGGAUUAACCUUGGGGACAAGUCAACAAGUCAACCACCCUGCAAUCUAGCCAGUGAAGGAUCUUUUAUUGAAACUAUGUGAACGUGCACGCAUAAACGUGCAGAUAGGUAGGGUGUUAUAUAAGAAGUUUGGGGUGGGUUCAGGUGAUAGAAUUUAAGUGGAUGGGUUAGGACAGUUGGAUUGUUGGACCCAUAAUUUAUUUGGUUUUUUUUUUUUUGUUAAAAAUUAGAAACAAUCCGGAGUCCUGUCUAGUGUCUACAGGCCGCUUUACCAUUAGUAAAAAUUUCAUAAAAUUUAUUUUUUAUCAUAACAAGUAACUUUUGAGGUUCAUUGAUACAUACAACAUCUUUACUACUUAUAAAGCGGCCCCAUAUAAUAUAUCCAUUUAUAUUUUGACACGUAUACAAACUUUGACUUCGGAAAUUAUUAUGUUUUUAAAUUUUUUUUUAUGGAUAAUGUUUGUUGACUUUAUAUUUUAGGAAUAUGGGGAAGAUAAGAAUGAGUUAUGGCACGUGCAUGGCACAUGCAUAUUUACAUAAUAUUCAUGAACGGAAUUUAUAGUUUCUAUGUUCCGAUCAAUAUUGGUGAUUGGUCAUUUAGCUCCUUGAUUUCACCUCCUUUGCUUUUGGUCUAAAAAUCUCACUUUCUUUCAAACCAUCACAGUUCUUAAUGACCCUGCCACUCACUAUCUCUUGAAUGACCCAUUUUCCUCUUCAGGUAUCUCCAAGCCAAUUUUUUUCCACUUUAGUAACCUCGCAUUCAACCCUUGGAUGUGGCAAACUACUGAAUUGGGGAAUCUAGUCCAUUGAAACAUAUCCCCUAUCCUUGACUUGGUCCUCAAACCCAGUUGGUAAGAACAACUCUCGCUAGGGGUGGGCACGGUUUGGUUCGGUUCUAUUUUAUCACUAAACUGAAACCGAACUGUGCAAGCUGGUUCGGUUCGGUUCGGUUUCAAAAACCAAAAAAUAUUAUUAACAUUGGACUGGACCAAACCGAUUUAAUUCGGUUCGGUUCGGUUUUCGGUUUGGGCUUUAUUAUGGGUUUUUAUGUUUUGGGUUUUAAUAACUUCGGUUUUUUUUUUUGUAAUCUAAUAAAUAUUUGAAUAUAAUUUAACAUUUAUAAAAAAAAAUAAUAAAAAAAUAAAAAAAACAUAUAUAACGUAUAUAUAUAAAUAAAAAAAAUUAAAAAAUAUAUAUAUAUAUAUAUAUAUAUAUAUAUAUAUAUAUAUUUUUUCGGUUUGGUUCGAACCGAAAUAUUAGAAUAGGAACUGGAACUGGACUGUAUAUACUCGAUUCGGUUCCAGUUUCAGUUCGGUUUGACCGGUUCCUGGUCAACACAGUUUUGACCCGGUUCCAGUUUCAGUUCGUUUUUUCGGUUUUUUGCCCACCCUUAACUCCCGCUGAUAACCAGGUAGGGUCUUUGAGUAUCAGACCAAUAUAAAUUGGCAAAUUGCUUGGAGGCCAUCUUUCCAGCCAGCUUUUUCAUAUACUAUGACAGUUAGUACAAUUAUGCAUGGCGUGGCACCAAACCAAAAGAUUAAAAAACUUUGGGUUAUUACUAAAGCCAAAGGAUUGGUUUUUAAAUGAAUAGUAUAACUAAUUAAAGAAGUAAUUAUUUUUAUCGAUACGAAUUUUAAUUGAUGUAUCCUUUCUCUUCUUUGCUUGAAACUGUUUGGAGGCAAUCUUUCCAACCAAAACAAAAAAUUAAACAAAAAUUUUUAUUUGUGUUUCCUCUAGUGUGUGGUUCGUGUGGUCCAAUUAUAAUAUGUCACGUGUCUAUAAAUUAGUUGGGUAACUAAUUCAAACCCACUAGGGUUAACUACACCCUACAUAGGUUAUAUUUUUGUUAACACGUGGCGUGAUGUGAUUGGAACCACACGAUCCACAUACAAAACGAAACACAGAUAAAAUUUAUUGUUACUAAAGAACAACCUACGAAGGAACUGAUAAGUUGGUUAGAUUAACCAAGUAAUUGAUAUAAGUAUGGUUUAAAAGAAAAUUGGUUUCGAUACUCUGUUUACAACCAAAUGCACCAACUGUUCAAAUCAACAAAUUUAAUUAUAUACAAAAUCUUUAUUGUUCAUCUUAAAAUUAAAAAAAGAGACUUGGAAGAAGAAGACUUGUCAGUGUUCAUGUUUGCGACUGAUGUAACACCAAGUUAAUGUAAAUACUAAGUGUAUGUUUGGGAACUCAUAAAGUGAGGGAAAAGAAAGAAAUAUGUACUUAGGGGCUUAGGGCUGUGCACGAAUCGGUACGAUUUGGUUUUGGGCAAAACUGGCACCCGAACACCUAAUAGGUGUUUUGUAAAAGUUGAAACCGAAACCGAACUGUUUCAUUUUCGAAACCGAUCCGAACCGAACAGAAUUCACUGAAACCGGAACAUAGCCGAACAUAUUAUUCAGUUCGGUUAACCGAGUAAAACCGAACUGAACACUUAGUUUCUUGACAAAGUUCAAUACUUACAUAAAUAAAUGGGUUGGAGUGCUGGACAGAUGGGCUGAAUUACUGCUAACUUGCUAAGUAAGUCUGCUAUACAGAUGGGCUGGAGAGAUGGGCUAUACAGAAUUAUAUAUUGGGGAUUAUGGGCUGGACUGUAUGUACAAAAUUACAUGUUCGGUUCGGUUUUAGGUGUUAAAAAAGUUUCCGAAACUGCAACCGAACACCCAAAGCAUGUGUUUUGCAAAAACAGAAACGGCAACUGAACAAAGAAACAUGCAAAUUGCAAACACCUUAUUUUCGGUUCGGAUCGGUUCGAUUUACAUGUUUCAGAUCAGUUUUGCCCAGCCCUACAUGUACUAAGGAAUGUUCACUUGAAUCUAGUUCUUGGUUUGUUUAGGUGGCUAAGGAAAUAUAGGGAAUGGAAAGACUUCUCUUUCCUUAGGGAAAAGUUUUAAUCUAAUUUAUUUCCGUAGCUCCCCUUCUCCUUCUCGAAAAAGUAAAGGAAACGAAAGAAAAAGAAUGAUUUUUGUUAAAACAACAUAAGAUUUCAUUCUUUUUCGUGGUUUCCUAAACAAAAACCCCUACGGAAUGGAAUGGAAUAAAAAUAAAAGUUUUUCAUUCCUUUCCUUUGUUUUCCCAGAGGACUACCUACAAAUUUUUUUUUCCCCAUCCUAUUCCUAUUAAAAACCUUUCUACUAACUUAAAAAUUUCCCAACACAGACCCUAAAUCUUCAAAAAAAUUUAGUAUUACACAAUACACAUUUACAUUACAAAAAAUGUCAAAUAUACAACCCUUCUUAGUUCAAACGGGCUGGAUCUGGAUGAAGCCCAGGAUAAUUUUCUUACAGGCGGCUUAUAUCCAUCGCGUAGGCAACAGAAAGAAUUUUAGAGUUUAAAGUUUAAACUUUAAAGUUGACACCACAGCAAGUCCCAAAGUCAAAUCCACUCAACUCAAAGUCAUGGCUCAUCAUCUGAAUCGUCCGCCCACAACACGCCUCAUAUCAAACCACUGUCUGUUUCUCUUACCUCAUUUUUUUCCCCAAUCACAUCUUUCUCGGAAUCAAAGAGAGAGAGAAAGAUAAUGAAUUAAAGACAUCACUGAUCACACACACGCGUUUCUUUCUUUUUUACACUAAAACUCCUUUAUUCAUUCAUCAGUAUUACUUUUCUUCAUAAUUAUCUAUCUUUAAAAUGCUAGAAGAUUCCGCCGCCACCACCACCACCACCACCACCAGCAACGGCGGUGUAAAGCGCCGUAUUAGACUUCCACCACUAUCUAACUCUGUCUCCUCCGGCCAAAUCGCUUAUCGUCUUCUAUGUCACGUUUCUAAAUCUGGUGCAGUGAUUGGUAAAUCUGGUAACAUUGUUAAACUUCUUGAACAAGAAACUGGUGCAACAAUACGCAUUGAGAAUCCUGUACCUCGUUGCGAUGAGCGUGUUAUUACUGUUAUUGCAGCAAGUUCACCAAAGAAGAUUAUUAUUUUAAAGAGUUCGAAUAGAGUAGUAGAAAAAGAAGAAGUUUUUAAUAGUGAAAACCAAGAUAAUGGUGGUGAAGAUGUAGAAGAAGAGGAAGUGGAGAUUUUUCCAGCUCAACAUGGUUUAAUUAGGGUUUUUGAGAGGGUUUUGGAAGCUGAAGCUGAAGAUGGAUUACCAAUACAAAGUUAUGGAAAACGUUUAGUUAUGUGUAGAAUGCUUACGGAUUCCAGUCAAAUUGGUUAUUUGAUGGGGAAAGGUGGGAAAAAUAUUAAUAAGAUUGAAGAUGAUAGUGGUGCGAAAAUUAAGGUUUUAAAGAGUUGCCCGGCUUGCGCUUUGCCCAAUGAUGAAUUAAUUCAGGUCUGUUUUAUUUCAAUUUUUGUCUAAUAAUGUAUUGAGCUACAUUUAUUAGGAGUAUAUAAUAAGUCUUAUGGAAAUGAAAUCUAAAGCAAAACUUUGAGCCUAAUAAUUAAGCUUAAGAAAAUGGGAAGAAAUAGGUUACUAUAUUGGUGCAAUUGUGUCAAGAUUGAGACUAUAUAUUGCCUAGUUCAGGUUGUGUGUUCAUGUAGCAGGGUUUGGGAACUCGGUCAGUUAAAGAGCAGAUUCCAAUUUAUUUACUCAAGAAAUCAUUCUCAAAUCUGUUGAAUUAAGUGCAAGUAACUUAUAUUACAUUAUUCAACAAUCAAGAGUGAAUUUGAGCAGGGGAUUGUUGUUAACUCUGACCGGACUCUUGUGGAAUGCUGAAUGCAUUACUAACACAGUUUUUUUUUUUUAAUCUUUCUGUGUUUGUGAGUGUGUAAUUGAUGCAGCUUUUGGUUUUUUUUUUUUUUUUUUUUUAUUCGAUGGAUUGAAAUAGAUAGAGUUCCCAAAUAUUUCAAGUUGUUUCAGCAUUUUCAUCUUUUUUUUUUUCAGCAUUUUCAUCUUUUGAGUAGUGCAAUCUUACUUUUUUUUAUUGGCAAAAAUUCACUUUAUUUAGAUAAUAGAGGUUGUUUCUUUUUCUGAAAAAGGAGUUUACUCAGAAGAAAUGACUGAUAAAUGAUACAUAUUUCUAGCUACUACAAUAGCAUUUUUAGUGAUAAACUGAUAAUCUGCUGUUAGAGAAGAGGGUUGUCUGAACAUAUUGACUCAGCUUUUUUAAGUGUUUUAAAGCAACUCAGUCCAUCGUCAAGUUAUUAUGAUUACUGUCUCAAACUGGAUGGACCCCAUGGUCAUGGCUGAGUCCUUGUGGCGAGUUUUCAAAUCAUAAUAAGCUUGUACUCAAAAUAGGGUCAUGUUUUAGUUUAAAAGUCUUGAUUUCAAGUUUUCAUGCAUCCAAACUGAAUUUUUUUUUUGCAUCCAAUGUCUGGAAAGUUUCUUACUAAAUACUCCCUCCAUUCCAAAUUAUAAGUACCUUAUUCCUUUUUUGUUUGUCCCAAAAUAUAUGACCCUUUUCAUAUUUGAACACAUAUUAAUUAAGUUAAAUUAUUUUUUUGCCUAUACUACCCUUGCUUUGGAAUAGAGUAAUUAUUCUAAUGAAAAUAAUUAGAAACUACUCGUACAUUUAAUAAGUGGGACCCCCCAUUAAAUAGGGGUAAAUCUGGAAGUAUAGUUAGUAGUCAAACAAUAAAUGAUGUUCCCUUAAUAAGUAGAAUAUUCCAAAAGGUACUUAUAAUUUGGGACGGAGGGAGUAUUAUGAUGGUUGUGCUUGUUUCAUAAUAAUUUUUGGAAAUAAAAGUUUUCCACAGAUUUGUCCAAUUUGUUUUGCUUGUUUCUACACAAAAAUCACAUAUCAAGUGCUUGGUUAACCAACCGGAAAGUGGGAUAGAGAGAGAGAGGAGAGAUAAAUUGAAGAAGAGAUAGAAAGCGGAAGAGGAGAGAGAAACCAGGAGAGAGUCGGACUUUCCAAAUUUAUCCUGCUUUAUUAAACUCGUAAUAUUUGCUUACGUGGUUUAUCUGUUUUUGAAAGUUUUCCGUGGUCCCACCUAUUUAAUGGUUUCACCAAGGGCCACAUGUCACUGUAUUCCUCAAACUCUGCCGUCAAAUAAGCAGAGCCAUUAAUCCCUUAUUACUGGAAAGUUUAAGUUCUAAGGGAAAGAGGCUUGGGGGGCAUUCCUUGACUGUAUUGUCUGACAGUGCUCUUUCCUUAUGCAUUGGAAGCAUUAAUUAGUCAUUUGCAUGUCCAGACAUUUGGUAUUACAAAGUCUCUAAAUAAAAAAAACCCCUGUUUGUGAUAGUGUGACACAUGGGAUCAAAUGAAGUGGUAAUAGACUAAUAAAGAAGCAACUUUAUGGGCAAAAAAAAAAAAAAAGAAAAAGAAAAAGAAAAAGAACAGUUCAACACAGGUUUGCCUUUAGAUAUUCAUAGAAUAGAUCUUCAUUCCCAGCGGGAACAUUGAUGGCAUCGUAAAAGCAAUUGAGGACCUUGACAACCCUUGAUAUAAGUACAUAAAUUUGAGAACCAAGAAUCACUGAUUUUUAGGAAGGUAUAUUGAAGGCGUGUUGAGCCUGGCCAAUAGAAAUUCCUCAUAUUUGUGUAGUCUGCUGGUGAAUCAAUGAGUCAUACCCUAAUAAAUUGCUCUUUUACCUUGGUCAUCUGGGGUUUGUUGGGCAUGCUCAGUUUUGGUGAAGAGUUAGUACUUUUAUCCUUGAGAGUUAAUUCCAUGAAAGGGAGCAUGAUUUGGAGUAUUACGUCAUUCACAGUCAUAUUGGCAUUUGAUGGGAGAUGACCAAGACAUUUUCACCUCUCUAUCUCCUAUUUAGACAAUGUGGGAACCUUUAAGUCGAGUUCUUACCCUAGUAAGCAAAAAAUCAGAAAAAUCACUUUCUCUAGAACCAAAAUUAGAAGUGAACUCUUUGUCGACUCAAAUUUUCUUUUCAUCGCUUUAUGUUGUCGGGCUCUCUGGUAAAAAAUGAAACAUCUUCAUUGUGUUCUGUCGGGAUUGGCCAUGAAACCAACAAUUUUUGAGAUGAGUGCCUUUAGCAUGUAUAUGCGAACGAGUUUGUACACAUAUAUAGGUUUAAUGACUUAGAUAUACCUUACUAUAACUUAGGCCUGUCUUCCCUUCUUAUUUACAUUGUUGCAAUGCAACCCUAUUUAUGAUUGAGUAAACUCUUUAAACUCUUUGCCAUGGUCUCAGUUCUGUUUAGUCAUUCUACAGAAAAUAGUGGGGUCCUUCUUUGCCAUCCAUGCGAGUAAAGAGGCUAAUUGAGACUAGAGCAUUAGAUUGACACACUUUCAUUAAUAAAGUAGUAGGCAAAUUUAAGAGGCCGAAAGCUUGUGGAUAAUGAAAUCUUCCUUUCUUUCCUUUUUUUUAAUGUAUUUCUAAUUAAAACUGAGAACCUAAUAAUCUUUGAAUCACUUUGGGUGUCUGAUGCUGCUGCAGAUAACUGGGGAUAGUUUGGCUGUAAAGAAAGCAGCUCUUGCAGUUUCGCAGUGUCUCCAAAACGUUGGAAAUCUGGACAACACACAAAUGGUUGGAAGCAGGCCUUUCAUGGCAGCCCCUAAUGGAGCCUUAUGUAAUCCAUAUGCUGAGUUUCCCCCUCAUCAAGUAUCCUCCCAACAACCUACAGCGAGUAGCUCGAUGGAUUAUGCGUCAAGGACUUAUUCAAUGUCCGGAGAGCAAGAACUUGUGUUCAGACUUAUAUGUUCAGAAGACAAAAUUGGGGGUGUAAUUGGAAAGGGUGGGAGCAUUAUUAAAGCUCUACAGAAUGAAACUGGUGCUUCUAUACGUGUUGCAGCUCCAGUGGCUGAAUCAAACGAUCGUGUUAUAACUGUUUCUGCAUCGGAGGUUGUUUUGUAACCUUUAUAUUUGAGUUCAUGAAUCAUGACGUAUUACUUUGAACGACUUCAUUAACCUGGUUUAAUUUUUUAUCUGCUGUUUAGAGCAUGGAAUCACAAUACUCUCCUGCACAGAAUGCCCUUAUACGUGUUUUCACUAGGUCUACAGAGGUUGGCAGUGGAAAGAAGUUAGAGUCUGAUGAAAGUAAAGAUUCAGUGGUUGAGGCACGCCUUCUAGUUCCAUCACACCAAGUUGGCUGUGUGAUAGGCAAGGGAGGAACAGUUAUAUCGGAAAUAAGGAGGGCUUCUCGUACUAAUAUGUGGGUUAUAAAUGACCAGGUGCCCCCCUGUGCUCAAGAGAAUGAUACAGUGGUUCGGGUACGUUGAUUUCUCUACUAUAUGUAUAGACAGAAGCAAGUAAAUCAUAUUUGCUAUAUUCACAUUAGUUUGGCUGUUAUUUGCUUGUGAGAAUCUGUUCUAACAUAUCUAAGUGUUGGUUUUGGCAGAUUAUUGGAAAAAUUCAACAUGUUCAAGAUUCUCUAUCUAUUGUUACUGGGAAGUUAAGGGAUGCGCUCUUUCCCAAUAAGAUGAUAGCUGCGGCUGGAAGGGUCAGAAAGCCAACCCGUUCUGACCCCUCCCAUAAAUUUGGUCGACAGACUAGUCUUACAGAGAGUUUGCAACACCUUGGCCUCUCCAAUCAUUUGGAUCAUUCCCCCUCACCAUCACUUGGAUCAAGAGUAAACAAUUUUUUCUUUCCCUAAGAUGGUCCUCAUAAUCUUUGUUUUCUAUCUGGACAUGUGUUGAUCGAUGUUGUAAAUGCAGUACAUGACAAUGGACAUUGGAAGAGGAGUGGCACCUCUAAGAGAUGGCUUAGAACAUUUCAGGUUUGUGUCAUCCUAUCCAGAGUAUGUAAAAUCAAUUUAAUAUAUGAAGAAUGAGGUUGCUAUGCAUGAACAUGAACAUUUUGUAGGUAUGCUUACAUGACAAGUAAUUUGUUUUCCUCCAGUAGCAACUCUGGCGUUUGAGGAGUCCUGCCUGGAUUAUGAAUACUGUGCGGUUGAGCAUAGAACCGUACUCAAUUUGAAAUGGAAAGCAACUAGUUUCAAAAUUAUAAGGCGGACUUUAGACCACCCUUUUAUGAGUGUAUGCAAGAUUUGAAAUAAUACCUUUAGUUUAGGGCUUUAGGCAGGAUUAUUCAAACCAACACCCAUCUUCCAGACUUCCACGACAAUUUUUCUUUAAAUAGGGGUACACUUUCUUGGAGGCUCGUAUUCUUAUCUUGGUGGUGGAAUACUGGUUUAGUUUUAGCCAAGGAAUCUUGUUUGUUAUAUGGACUGUAGUUAUUGUUUUAUUUAUAAAAUGUGUCUUGCCAUAUAGUUGUUUAUUUGACUCUGAAUCUGUUGUAGUGGAAGCAACUCUGCUGUUGUGACGAAUACCACUUUGGAGAUUUUAGUUCCAGAACAUGCGAUUGGGUAUGAUCGUGAGGAGAAAGAAAGCAAGCUUAACCGUAUAAGACAAGUGAGCGCUUUUCUCUUUUGUGACUGCUUGUAUGAUGAUGUUAUUUCUUUCUUUCCCAGCUUUUUCAUGUUCCAACCUGUGUUUUUUUUUAGGUUCAAUAGUUAGAUUGUGAAUGAAAAUCUAACAAGCUAGCUGGUUUGCCCAGCCUCAAUUUUAUGUUUCUAUUUUGUUGGACAAGAUGCCAAAUUCAAUUUGUCAGACUUAUGCCUGCAAUUCUGUAAGACAUUGGAUCAGGUCCAUGGGAAUCUUACAUUCCCGAAGCUGUAUCUCUCCAGCAGGAGACCCAACACUUCACUUAUUUGAUAAUGAAGUAUAGAUCCAGAAUUAGUUUUAUAAAACUGAGUGCCUUUUUAGUUUUAUAAAACUGAGUGCCUUACUUCUAUAUAUAUGGAGGAGCAUAUAUUAAUAUUUUUCUGAAUUUGUAUAUUAAGUUGAGAAAAUAAUCCAGAUGAACUCAAAUACUCAAUACAAUGCUUUUUUGUUUGAAGGGUGAGUUCGGCAUGGAUACAUGUAAUUCUUGUAUAUGAUGAUUGAUUUUAUAUGAUAUGAGUUGUCGAGCAUUAUUCUUCAUUUGGUAAUUUCCAUGGUCAUUGUAUCUCAAACUUAGUAUUGGUUACUUCCAUCAGAUUUCAGGUGCAAAAGUCAUGAUGCGUGAACCCCUUCCUGGAAAGAACGAGGCAACUGUCAUCAUAUCUGGGACACCUGACGAGACACAAGCAGCACAAAGCAUCCUCCACGCUUUCAUCCUUGGUAGCGGAAGAUAAUGACCUUAUCAUAACAUCUAGCUGUUGAUAACAUUUGUUCAUGGGCGAAGACAUUAUGGAACUGAGGUUUUGCAGUCCAAUCUGUAGUUUUGUACAUUGAAAAUGUGCGAAUAGAUAUACUAAAAAUUUUGUGGGUGUUCCCUAAAUCAAAUGUUGAACACUUGAACUAAACUUACAACAUUGCCAGAAUUGCAAGGGCUGAGGAAACUUUACAAUGGAAGGACCAUUUUGUAUUUUAAUUCUUCCAAUUACCAGGGCCGGCCCUAAGAUUUUAAGAGUCCCAAGCGGUCCAAGGAAAUGUGGCCUAGUUGCGAAUUUGAAAUAUACUGUACUAAUAAUAAAAAUUUCUUAUACUAAUCAAAACCCAUCGAAAAGACAAUAAAUUUGAUGAAAUUAUCUAUUUUAACAAAAUAAAAGUGUGCUUUUAUAUAAUAUCUUAAAAUUUGGUUACGGUAGAAGAGUAAUCCGCCAAUCCGGUGAGGGUUAAAAAUUGUAGAAAGUGUUAGUUACUUGCUUAGGCCUUAGGUGAGUAAUCCGGUAAUAGUUAAAAAUAUUAGAAAGUGUUAGUUACUUGCUUAGGUCUUAGGUUUUUCUUUGCCGCAAGAAACGAGUUUGACUGAGAAGAGCUAUAGAUGUUAGAAGGUGUAGGUUAUCAAAAAUAAAAUAAAAUUAGAAGGUGUUAAUUAGAAUCUGAUUUAGGCUUGUACUCUGGUAGGGUUUUGGUCUGUGAGCCAAUACAAUAGUGUUAGGCUUUUUUACUUGAGGUGAAUAAGAACAAAAUUAAUUUGUGGCCCAAUUUUUUUUUCUUCUUUUAAUUGGCCCAAAGCACUGGCUGAACCUGCUUGUGCUGAGGGCCGGCCCUGCCAAUUACAUUACAUUAAAAACUCCUAGAAACUACAGUACCCAAGUCAAUGUGCAAGUGUGGAACUAUUGUGCAUCUCGGAGCUGUUUUGUUGUAUCUCGAAAUAUAUCAACGGUGUAAGAUUUAGUCCUAUAUUAGUUUGAAAUCAAAGGUGGAGUACGUGAAUAAUUUAUUUUCUUUCUCUUCAACCCGACUUCAAAGUUGAAAGACCAAAAACACCAUCUUCUUCUGUACUUCAUCAUCGAGUUUCUGAAACCUAGGGUUUCAAUUUAAAACAAUUUCCAACUCAGAUCUAACUUAAUGGCAGAUAAGGAGAUGGAAAUAGAUGAAGAAGAUUUGCCUAGAGAUGCUAAGAUUGUAAAAUCACUAUUAAAAUCGAUGGGGGUAAGAGAAUAUGAACCUCGUGUUAUUCACCAGUUUUUGGAACUUUGGUAUCGAUAUGUUGUUGAUGUUUUAUCGGAUUCUCAAGUUUAUGCGGAACAUGCUGGAAAAUCUGCAAUUGAUGUUGAUGAUGUUAAGCUUGCUAUUCAAACUAAAGUUAAUUUCAGCUUCUCACAACCUCCUCCAAGAGAGGUAAACUAUAAUUUCUUUCCAUUCUUCUUCAAUUCCUUUGAUUUGUGCUUUCUAUGUUAAAUUUUUUUGCUUUUGCGAUUUUGUUUCUCUUUUGGUUAAAAUUUGUUUCUAUGACAUACAUACUGUACUAACUUAUUGUGGCUAAAUACUAUCUUAUAUGACAAUGUUGAUAACACAUAUCAAGUUAAUGCAGUCAUUGAUUGUUCCUGCCUUUGAAGAAUCUCCCUUGGCAUGUAAUUGUUCUUAUAAACAAUAUUUCCCUAAAGAAAUUGAUUGAUACGAAAAUAGAUGAAUUACAUUGAUUUAGAACUUAGAGAGUUGAACAGUAUUAUUAUUCAGGUUGAUGAAUUGUAGGAAACUUUUGCUGCUGUAUUGAUGUUCAUUAGAGUCCUCAGAAUUUAGGACUCUAAUAGCAGAGAAAGUGUGUGAUCUAUACUCCACCAUGAGCUUUUUAUUAAACCUAAACUCCUUCACGGAGAAGAAUUUAGGACUCUAAUAGCAGAGAAAGUGUGUGAUCUAUACUCCACGAUGAGCUUUUUAUUAAACCUAACCUCCUUCUCAGUAAGUACUUUGAAGCAGACAUUUGCAUUUAAAAUUGCUACACAAACCUUCUUGACCCUCUCCUGUUUAUGAACAGAAGCUCUUUUCUCUUUUUCACUAUCACUUCCCAAAUGCCACUUAAGCGUUUGCCAUUGUUACAGGCACAGAGCUACUACUCUGUGCAAGAAACCGAAAACCAUAAGAUAAUUUCUCAAUAGAUAUUUAUGAGUAAAAAAAUGACAGUCUUGAGUUGUCUAACCCAUUAACUCAUGUAUUAUGUUAGUAUCCAAACUCGAAUAAAAAUUACGAAUACAUGUGAACUUUGGAUUACUUUUCAAACAUCAGCCAAAGACAUAAGUAGUAAUUAGUAUCAUUCAAAACUUAACACUAUUCACUUGUUCACUGUAAAAGACACGCAAAAGCCUUAUGGCCUUACUAAUCAUCCUCCAAGCCGUAAGCAUCCAUUCUCUUCUGUUGCUAGGUAACCAAGAUCUUUUUUGAGGUAAAAGACGAAAUACAGUACACAUAAACAAGUGUCAUCCGAAAGAAACUGGUAAUAUAUGGCAUUGGAUAUUUUAAUAGGUAGCUUUCCCUUGGUGAGAAAGAGAUUAUCUUUCUCACCUCCUUUGCUGAUACAGGUCUGAACACUGAAGUUAAUUUUUAAAUAAGGGAUUCUGCAGUUUCCUAUAAAGAGAAACUGAGAGUUUUACAAUAACUAUGACAGUCUAUGUUCACUCAAUCACGAGAGUUGCCUUGUCUAAGCUUUUGGUUCUACUGUAGAAAUGUAUUUUGAUUAGGAAAACACACAGGCAAUAUAAAAUAUACUUAGAUGGUUAACUUGUCAUGGUAGCUCAACGCUACAAAAAUAAUACAUAAUAGCGAGCAUGCAAUCUGGUAUGGUCACUGGCAUUAAUCUUAAAUUACUUAAUUUCGACCUAGUGACACCAAUUAAAUCAAGGGUCUCGUUCCUCCAACAUGUAGAGAUUUUUUUUAAGGAAGUCAACCAUUAUCCAACGGAAGUUGAUGGUUUAUGCAAUGAGUUUCUCCAACUACUUGUUGUAUUAGUAAUAAUCCAAUUCUUGAAACAGAUCUCUGUUGUUUGAAUGGUUUGUAUCUUCACCUCUUGUUUUAGUGCAUUAUUUUCUGCAUUUUAUUUUCAGCUUCAAUAAUAUGUUCUUUCUCAAUUGGCCUCUGUUCUCUAAAUUUGUAAAAUUCAAAUGUAUAUACUAUUUACAUGAACAAUGCUUGAAAAGUGAAAACUAAUAGGCCUAAACUUUUCAUUAGAUCCUACUUGAGCUGGCAAGGAACAGGAACAAAAUUCCCUUGCCGAAGUCAAUAGCAGGUCCUGGAAUCCCACUCCCACCUGACGAGGACACAUUAAUUAGCCCAAAUUACCAGCUUGCGAUUCCAAAGAAGCAACCACCCCAAGCAGCUGAAGAAACAGAGGAAGAUGAAGAGGGAGCAAAUCAAAACCCUUCCCAAGAACAAAAGACUGAACAACAGCAGCAACAAACUCCACAAAGGGUAUCGUUUCCUCUUGUGGGUAAAAGAGGGGCCUAAUCAACCCCUUUGGCAAACUGCAAGUCAGCUGCAACAAACUCAAAAGAGUAAAUUUGGAAGCUGAGAAAUUCCAUCACCUGAAGUUCGGGAUUGCAUGUAAACAUCGACAAAGAUCACUGUGGAGGCUAGUGUAGUGGAAACAGUGACGAAAGCCUCAGUUUCAAAACUUAGAGCCUCUGUUGGUAUACAGUGCCAGGUUGUAGCGUAUGAUUGAAUUAUAUCAACAAAUGAAAUAACUCUCUGGACAGGGUACUGUCAUAAUUUGCUGGUUGAUCCAUAAUAUAUGAUCAAGGCGCAGUAUCAUGAAAAAUGGUGUGUAUAUUUUGUUUCUUUUGAGAAAAUGGAAAGUCUGAACCAUUACUUGGUAUUUUCUAAAUUGAUUUCUGUUGCAGAGAAUCAUCAGUUGAAUGUGCUCAUUUAUAUUUCUAGGUAACAUAGGUUCUGGGUUUAUGGUGUAAUAAGUGUCAAAAACAUAUCUCUUCCAGAGUAAUUUCUCCCCAAAAGCAAAAUCAUAGGGUUCAGUUUCAGGUCUUCCUUUAGACAAAAAGGGGAUCUAGCUAAACCAGGCCUGCAAGCACAGCAUACAUGCCUUUGGACUAAUAGCCUAGAUUUUUUUUCUUCAAUGAAAUGCAACUCCUGUCAUCACUGUUUUACUUGCCACGAUUUGUUCACUCAGUGGCCUGGUGUGGAAAUAUGCAAGUACCACUGAAGUGUACCUUUUUUUCCCCCAGGGGCCAAGCUUUUAUCAACAAAUCACCAUUAUUCUUAGAUGCAUAAUAAUACACUAGAGUUUAUUAAACAAUUUUUACAAGGUAAAAGCCCAUAAUUAGUCAUUACAGGAACUGUUUUUCAGCUCCAACAAUAAGCUUGCUGGUCUUGUAGGUUCUACACUGAAAAUGGUUUUUUCCAUCCAAAAAAGUUGCAGCUGAAGAGUCUUAACAGUACCCAUGAGGCCAUCAGAAGGGCAGAAGGCUCUACGCGUACAACUGGAGGGGCACUCCUAAACAUUACCCAGCUUCACAAAACAGGAAUCACAGAUUCACAGACCUUGGUCUCUAUGAGCAUUGGGCACUUUGGCGUGGACUUUUCUGUUAAUCCAAAUGACGUAUUUCUGUUAAACUUGGGUGCCUUUAAUGAUUCCACGUGUUUAAUUAACAAUAAAAAAUAAACCAAUAACACAAGAGGUGCACCUCUUUUUCCGCUUUUAAUUGUGACCAAAGAUCUAUUUUAUAAAAAUAAAAAAAAAUCUAGGGUUAGGGUUUCAUCAUCUCCAAAUUCCAAUCCCGAUCUCUCUCUUCCUUGUUUGAUGCUCUGGUCUCUUUAACUUAAAAAUGCCGAAUUCCCGUCGAAUUAGUCAAUCAUACGGUAAUCUUCCAUCUAAUCAAAUCAACGAUGAAGAUGAUGGUGCCGGAGCUGAAUCAAUUGAUAAUCCUCAUCUUCGUUUUGAAGAUGAAGUAAUGGAUGGUGUUGAUGAAGAUGUUCCUUCUGAUUCUGGUUUUCCUGGUACCAAUUCAUCUUUGGCUUUACGCGGUGAGAAUUCUGAUCAACUCACUCUCUCCUUUCAUGGACAAGUUUACGUCUUCGAUUCUGUUUCUGCUGAAAAGGUUAACAAAUUUUCUUUUUUUUUAAAAAAUAAAAUAAAAUUAAUUGUGAUUAAUUGAGCGUUUUAACGGUUAUUAAAUUGGCAUUUUGGGGUUUUUUUUUUUUGAAUUAGGUACAAGCAGUGUUGUUAUUGUUAGGAGGAUAUGAAAUACCAAAUGCUGUGUCUGAGGUGACAAUAACGACUCAGAAUUCAAGGGUAAUUUUUUUUUUUUCAAGUAUGUUUAAUUUUUUUAAUUUUUUAUUAUUGGGGUUGGUGUGGUGAGGCAUUUGCUUAAUUGUUUGCUUUUUGUAAAUUUUUAGGGGUCUAGUGAUUUGCCUUGUAGAUUGAGUCUUCCCCAAAGAGCUGCUUCAUUGAAUAGAUUUCGGGAAAAGCGGAAAGAUAGGUGUUUUGAUAAGAAAAUUAGAUAUGCUGUUCGCAAGGAAGUUGCGCUCAGGUAAUUUUGCUAAUUGUUUGUUUCAUUUUGUCUAUUUUCAAUGAUUAUUUUGUUAAUUUUUACUUAGACAAAAAUAUGGUGUUCUUAUCAUACAUAUGUUAAGAUAAUGGCUCUUUGUACAUGAUUUUAUAACCAUUUGGACCAAUGUACGUUGUUUGUUUAGUCUCUAUCCAUGUGGGGCAAGCUGGUUACUUGACUAUAAGCCUAUAUGAGCUCUCUGUCCCCCACUCCUCCACCUACUUCUAAUGUUAGGGUAUCAAACUCCAAAGUCCAUAUUCCAGAUAUUACUGUUGAUUAACAGUUUAAUUUUAGGAUUAGUCUAGACUAUUUAAACCCUCCGAGCUUAUUUUUAAUGUACUGGAAGGACAAGGGUAGGUGAAGACCAUUUAAACAUAUGAGCUCAUGUGCAAAGUAUAAAAACAAUAAGGAUAAUUGAAGACCUUAUACUGUAUAUGUUUUUAGCUCAGGUUCAGAGUACCAAAUUGAUACAUUUAAGGACAAAUAUUUUUUAUUAGUUCUUAAUAGCUGAUUCAGGGGUCCUAUACUAAAACACCGUUUUUGAAAUUUAUAUUAUUCAUCUGGUAUUCCACUCACUACUUAGCUGGCAUUCAUUUAUUUGUUCUUCAUCUUACAGGGAAACUGAUUGUUUUAGCUAUUAUGUUUUUCACUGACCUAAAACUAGGAGACUUAUAUAAAAAGACUGAGUGAUAAAUCCCUCAAUGUGGAAACUAGAAUCUGUACUUUGCACAAGAAUGAUCUAUUAUCUGCCCACCACUGUCCUCCCUUUCGUUAUUUCCUCUCGCUAUGUGCCUUGGAGUACUUCAUGGUUUCUAAGAUUACUCCAAAAUUUCUCUUCCCCCUCCCCCUUUUUACUUUUCCUAGAAAAAUAUGCUCACAGUCUCUAAGUUGAUGGCAUAAGAAAGAAAGUCAAGCUAAAGCUUUUGCCUUCUUUGCAAAAGAGUGGGAGUCGUGCUUGUGACAUUAUGUUGUGAACGUUGAACAUUUGAUGCAAUAUUUGCUCUUCAAGUGUCUUGAUAAGUGUUAGGGCUCUCGGAUUAGUACGUUCAGAAACUUGUAAGAAAUGCUGCCUUUUACGACCGCAGAGUGUCUUGUGCAAUGUUAGGGACUGUCAUAGACUCAAGAUGAUGAACUUCUUGGCCUUUCCUCUUUGUGCCAAGUGGAUCUUGAUGUGAGAUGUAAUAGUUAAUACAUCUUAUAACAUCCCCCGUUUAUUAUAAUUCUGCAUGUUAAUGAUCAGGAUGAAAUAUCAGAGUCAUAGACAAGUGGCAAAAUUUUCCCAUUUGUUUUGUUUUACUAUUUAUGUUAAGUUGCGCCCUAGACUUGGAUAUGCUUGAGGAAAUGUGUAAUGUAUUAAAGGCUGAGAUACUAAUCGUAAGACUAGUAAUGCAUGAUACGUACAAUAUUUACGAGCAUAGUAUAGUGCAGGAUUGUGUCAAAAAGUAAUUGACUAUUGACUGCCACAUUGUGAUUUUAUUUCCUUCCAAGACCACAGUGUAAUCUAUCUUUUGGGAAUCAAACAAAAGCAUGUGAUGACGGGUACGAUUAGUCAUUGAUUUGAUACACCCGGCAUGAGGCCAUAAAUUAUAACAAAUAGGGCCAGCAAUUGGAAGCUCUUUGCAGUCACGUGCCUAUUGCCAAAUUAGUCACUCUGUAAUCCUGUGUGAUUUAAUUGGUAGUUUCCUGUGGAUUACAUAUCAUUUGAUUCUGGAAGCUGCAUUCAACUCUAUUAAUUGUGUGUAUUCUUAUUUUUCAGAAUGCAGCGUAAGAAGGGUCAGUUUACUUCAUCUAAGCCAACCCCCGAGGAGAUGGCAAAUCGUGCUGUUUCAGAGAAUGGGGGACCGGAUGAUUCCCCUGAAAUACUGUGAGUUCUAAACUAUAUGUAUAGAAGUUUGGCGUACAUUGAGAUUCUCGAGAUUGUUGCCAUAAUCAACUUUCCGAAUUGAACGUUCAGUCUUUUGCCUUCAACCCUGUUGUUUCUGUUUUCCGUUGUUCUUUGUUCUUAGUGAUGUUGUUUGAGUCUAUUUAUGCGCCUUGCCCUGAAUCUUAACAUCAUGUAUGCAGAUGUACUCAUUGUGGCAUUAGUUCAAAAUCUACUCCGAUGAUGCGACGUGGACCUGCUGGCCCAAGGACCUUAUGCAAUGCUUGUGGGCUUAUGUGGGCAAACAAGGUCGAUAUACUAGAACAUAAAGAUAAACUCUAGAUUUUGUGUAUGAGCUAGUGGUUUAAGAGUUUCUCUUUCGAUAUACUAGAACAUAAAGAUAAACUCUAGAUUUUGUGUAUGAGCUAGUGGUUUAAGAGUUUCUCUUUAUCUUAUGUAGUUACAUAUUUUUCCCAGAUAUUCUUUUAGAAGCACCAAUUUCCACCUUAUGUGAAUAACCAUAUCCACUGAAACAAGAAUACAUAUAAAAAUAUGUGUCAGCUUUGCAUCUUGAUGCAUCAAUCUUUUGUUAAUUGCUAGUUUUUUGUACAGCCACCUCAUUAAACUUUUUAGUUUCUGUUGUAUCAUAUGUUUUAACAGAUAACUACCCUGAAUAAGAUGCAUCUGUAUUGGUUUUACUUUAAUCCAUGCACUGUGAUUUCUGAAGUUCAUUGCAUUGUGGUUAGCUGUUUACUUAUAGGUAUAUUAAAUAGGUUUUAACUGUUUGGCUGGCUUGUUUCUGUUGUUCGCACAGAAAAUUGGACCUAAAGUUUUGCACAAUGUUAUGAUGUAGCUUUAAUAUGACUUGUCAACUAUAUUCCCAUGUUUGAUCCUAUUCAUUUUCUGUUGAAUUUGUAUAGGUCCUUAAGUAUUUAGCUUUGUCCUUCACCAUUUUGAGCAACCCAUUCUGCAUCUGAUAUAACCGUUAACAAAUGUGUGCAGGGAACUUUAAAAGAUCUGUCAAAGGCGAUAGCUGCUGUAACUCAGAGUCCAGUUAACCAAGGCAAACAAAUGGUGGAAGAGGUAGGGGCCGAACUUAGAUUUUUUCUUUUCUUUUGCAUAUAGUUGAUACGUGAUCAUAUUUUGUAAUGAACUCCCUUAUCUGUUUUUUUCUCAAAGGCCGAGGCUAACAACUGUCAAAUGCGAGAUGCUGAUCAAUUGCACACUGUAGUUCCUUCCCCAAAUGGUGGUAAUAAUGACUUGGUGGCAACGGCUGAACAAUGAGGUUGCCUUAUAAACGACUCUGUUGGCAUGUGAUUAUUCACUUCAUAGACGACUGUGUAAACUGGUGGUUACUCCCAGUCAUACUUCCAAUCCAAUGAAGUUCUUUUUCUUUUGACUUUUCUUUUUAUGUACAUAUCAAUCAGGUGCCUCGGCCAAUACAUAUGAGAUCAUUAAGGGAUUCUCUAAAUUUUUUUGUUGAUGCCUGAUAUUAAAGUUCUCUAGCUAUGUCAUUACAUGGUUUUGAUCAGUGGAAGCAGUUCAUUAAAUGGCCCACAAAUCAAGUCUUAAUUUUCCCCUCAAGUUGUAGGAGUUCCAUAAAAUGUGCUACCUAACUGGGAAAAAAAAAGAAAAAAAGGAAACAAAAAUUGAGUGAAGCCCUUCAUCACCCUAGCCUCAAUUGAGCUGAAGCACUCAAAUAGUCAAAUACCCUCAGAUAAAGCAUUUACCUCUUGAUACAGUACUCAGCUGAUUGGAGCUGCCCGGUGUGAUUUGCAGUAGGUUCAGUGGUGAUGUCGUGAUUUGUAGUAGGUUCAGUGGUGAUGUCGGUGUUAGAGAUCAGCGCAUUGUUAUCCUUCAUGUCACUGAACUAGAUUAUCACUGUUAUCCUGCAUGUCACUGAACUAGAUUAUCGCUAGCCUUGGUGCGGUACAAAUUUUGUAUCUCAGCGUAGCUAAGCUUGGAUAGGACUGUACGAGUAGAGUAUAACUGUUGUUUGGAUUGACAGGAAUUAUGCAUGCACUUACUCUAAUUGAGUUAAUCUGAUUCCCAUCUUGUGAUUUUACUUCAUUUUGCGUUGGGUUAUAUGUCAGACCUCAUGAACUUUUGUUGGGCCGUAAGUCUUGGAUUAUCCUGUCAACCCGGCCCAGUUCUUCACCCAGUGAACUGCGCGCUGUGACACGAGCCUGAGGGGAAAAUGCUGCUGAUUAAACUACGUGAAGCCACGUGGUACUUUCUAAAGUCCAACGGCCUCUUCAAUGCUCAACAGCUUCACUUCUCUUCAAAAGUCCAGGUAUCAAAAGGAUCAAAAUCCGAUCAGAUCAAUGGCAUAACCAGCAAUUAUUCGCUAUUCCAAGGUAAAUUUCAUAACCCUCUUCUUCUUC
Molecule: long non-coding RNA, 29382 nt
Filed under: Aquilegia coerulea
Lineage: Eukaryota; Viridiplantae; Streptophyta; Magnoliopsida; Ranunculales; Ranunculaceae
Description: long non-coding RNA (ACOE_LNC000640)
Source: RNAcentral